This 1331-nucleotide long non-coding RNA is filed under the name Vulpes vulpes (red fox). Its description in RNAcentral is "lncRNA (ENSVVUG00000015447.1)". The record is from RNAcentral. Lineage: Eukaryota; Metazoa; Chordata; Mammalia; Carnivora; Canidae.
CCCCGAGCGACAGGGACGGAGCACCCGCGCCGUAAAUGGCUGUGCCCGCAGCGUAAGGAACACCGUCCCUCACGGGGUUUACCGUUGACGGAGUCACCCGGACGGACCCCGGGCAGGGGUGGGAGCAGAGCCCUCCGCACCGCUGCCCGCCCUGCUCCCAGGGAGAGGACGAGGCGGGGGCUCUCAGGGCCAGGCAGCCCGAAGCCCCGACGGAGGGCGAGCGGAGCAUCCAGCUGGAGGGGCCUGGGCGCAGGGGGCAGCAGGGGGUUGGGCGGAGCCAUCCGAGUUCCCACGAGGUGCGGAUCCUCCAACGACAAGUGUGCCCGUGUUUCCAGCGGGGCCGGAGGCCACACGGCAAGCAGAGCGCCUCCCGUUCACCUGCGCAGGCCUCGCACCUGUGGGGUGCGCCCCCCACGGCCAGCCCAGCACCACGACCACAGCUCCCGUCUGUGCCCCCCAAGCCGCACCGCCCGCCAGCCCGGGCCCUGGGGUAGCUGGGGGGGUGCUGACCACGUGAGAGGCCCUCCAGCAGGAGGUCAGAGGGUGUCUCUCUCCCGGCAAAGGGACUGGAGCCUCCACGUCCCUCCUCGCUGGACAGGGCGACACCAAGGAAGCAGCUGCACCCAGGCCACGAGCAUCACGGCCACACGCACGAGUGAUUUUUCCACAGGGUCCAGCUUCCCCGGGAACCUCAGGGAGGACCUCGACGGGACGCGGCUGGGAUGAGCGGGGGCCUGAGCACCCUCCCCAAGGAGGGGGGUGCGAGGCCGACUGCAUCCCCGCGGCCCCCACCCCCCACAUCACGGAGUGUAGGUGCCGCCAACGUGAGGGUUUUGUUAUUCUAAACAGGGAAGACCUCAGGGGUGGGGGAGCAGGGGCCGUGUCCGUGGGGCCGGCCCCUCCCACGGGGCCUCCUAACUCCUCGGAUGUCCGUGGGGAACCUGCUGGAAGCUCGAGCUCUGCCCCCCAAAUCACCCGUGAGCUCAGAUGCCAGCCCGGCAGCCCCUCUGGCAGCCUCGCAGGGCCCGCGACCAGGUCACGGCCUGUGCCCGCUCCCCGGCGCCCGGCGUGGUUCCAGGGUCACGCUAAGGCGGGAUGCGCCUCGGUAACCAGCUAGGACAGCAGGACGCUGUGGUCGGAGCAGCCGGACUCAUCCCGCCUGGUCAGCUGACGGGUUCCCGUUACAGCCCCGCGGCCCGGCCGGCGCGUGAGCUCGCCGCCCCGUGUGGACACACACCCCACACCGGGCAGCCGCGGGGAUCGAUCAGGAGACUGGUUUUCCUGUACAAAUGCACUUACCACGCUCAGGUUAAAAAUAGCCCGAGCCAGAG